UACAGAUUUAAGCAAGCAAUUGGGAAUUUGAACUGUAUUUUAGUGAAGCUAAUAAGCAUUUUAGUUUCAUAAAAUGUACAUGAUUCUUAUAGAUGUAUAAGAAGUUUAGUGGGAGUACAUAAAAACUUAAUUGGUCCUAUGUGUAUCACACACAUAUCUCUCUAUUGUGAACUAACAUUCAAAUGCUAAUGACUUAGAUUUGAAAUUAUUCAUCAAUGAUGGACCAUGGCAAAACUUAGUACAUACUGGGUAUUAAGAUCUAUUUACAAAGAUCUUAUAUUAAUGUUUUGGAUUAAGUAAUGGCAUUUACUAAAUCAAACACGAAAGACUCCAUUGGAGAUAUUCGACCCAUGUGAAUAAAUCUAAGUAAAGAAUGUUUGAACUAUGUAUAAGCAUUUACUAAGUUAAACAUCAAAGGAUCUGUAAUCCCCCGUAAAUUUAUAAAUUUUAUCAAUAUAUUUUAACGUAUAUUAUUUAUAUUUUAAUAGAAUUUACGAAUUUUAAUAAUAAAUAUAUAAUUAACGUAUAUUUAUUUUAGUUAAUUACAUUUUUAAAUUCUUUAACGAUUUAGGAAAUCAAAAUAAUUUUAGAACUUUACAUUGAAACGAAUUCGUUUUACGAAAACAUGUUCGAUUGAAAUUAGAAAUUUGGAUUCUAACAACUUAAAUCCUACUCCUAGCCCAAGUGGGAAAAGCCCAAACCAAAAAUAAACAAAAACCCAAACCAAUACUCCCUUUCUCUUUUCAAAUUCACGUGGAAACAAGGCAAACCAAAACCCUUCCAUCCUCCUUCAAAAUCACGUACAUCAUCAAACACCCUCCUCACUGCCGUUCCUCUCUCCCGUCUUCACUUUCGUUGCUGCAGCCUCCCUCGCCGUCGGACCACCAUCACGCCACUGCAACCACCACCGCGCCACCAGCCGCGCCCAUAACGAUUGUUCGCCGCCGCACCACCAACAACCAUCGCGCGGACGCUGACACCCUCCGCCGUACUCCUCCGACCAGCGUCGCCGCCCACUGUUGCCGCGCCGCCCUGCCUGCCGGCCAGCAGCUCCCCUCUCCUCUCUUUUUUUGGCGGAGAAUUCUCUUUAGGCGACCUUUGAAAGUGUUAAAGUGACGUAUUAGUUUGUUUACACAAGUCUCUAGGGAUCAAUAAGCAUCGUCCAUUACAGGUUUGAAGGUGAUGCAUCAUGGGGUUCGGGAUUGAAGAGCUGUGUAGUUAUUAAAUUGUUUUGUUUUAAGUUUGAUGUUGAAUUUGUUUGGCCUGUUUUAAAGAGACUCGAACUUUGUUUUAAUUAAUUACGUUGACUUUGUUUUGUUGGUUGGUUUUAGAUUUUAUUCCGUAGUUGACUUAUUUAAAUUAUUAAAGUUAGUUAUUAUGUUUUCCGCUGCAAAAUUCUGAAUAAGCCGAUACGUUUUCACACGGGCGAUAAUGCCUUGA
This is a long non-coding RNA of Spinacia oleracea (spinach), 1440 nucleotides long. RefSeq lists it as uncharacterized. The record is from RefSeq and is a predicted model, not a curated record. The transcript has 5 exons. NCBI's taxonomy places the organism in Eukaryota, Viridiplantae, Streptophyta, Magnoliopsida, Caryophyllales, Amaranthaceae.